Molecule: ribosomal RNA, 497 nt
Filed under: uncultured bacterium
Lineage: Bacteria
Description: partial 16S ribosomal RNA
Rfam family: Bacterial small subunit ribosomal RNA
Source: RNAcentral
GACGAACGCUGGCGGCGUGCCUAAUACAUGCAAGUUGAGCGCUGAAGGUUGGUACUUGUACCAACUGGAUGAGCAGCGAACGGGUGAGUAACGCGUGGGGAAUCUGCCUUUGAGCGGGGGACAACAUUUGGAAACGAAUGCUAAUACCGCAUAAAAACUUUAAACACAAGUUUUAAGUUUGAAAGAUGCAAUUGCAUCACUCAAAGAUGAUCCCGCGUUGUAUUAGCUAGUUGGUGAGGUAAAGGCUCACCAAGGCGAUGAUACAUAGCCGACCUGAGAGGGUGAUCGGCCACAUUGGGACUGAGACACGGCCCAAACUCCUACGGGAGGCAGCAGUAGGGAAUCUUCGGCAAUGGACGAAAGUCUGACCGAGCAACGCCGCGUGAGUGAAGAAGGGUUUCGGAUCGUAGAACUCUGUUGGUAGAGAAGAACGUUGGUGAGAGUGGAAAGCUCAUCAAGUGACGGUAACUACCCAGAAAGGGACGGCUAACUACGUG